This 8910-nucleotide long non-coding RNA is filed under the name Sus scrofa (pig). RNAcentral describes it as "lncRNA (ENSSSCG00025006655.1)". Lineage: Eukaryota; Metazoa; Chordata; Mammalia; Artiodactyla; Suidae. The record is from RNAcentral.
UUUUUUUUUUUUUUUUGGUGAAACCUUUCAUCAAUAGAGUUAAUCAUUCUCUUCCUUCUGGUCCCACAGCAUUUUGUUUUUUAUAAAAAGCUUUCAUCGCGUUGUGUGACAACUACUUACUUGGAAUUAUGUCUUAUUGUGUGUGUGUUUCCCCAAUAUUUAUGGACUGUACUUUAACAUAAUGGUCCUUUGAUAAAAAUUUACUGGAUGAAUCAAAGUUCUUGAGAAAAUAUCAAUACUCAGCCCUUGAAUUUUCUUAAUUGUCCCCUGCCUUUUCUUCCUUGGGGUGAAAAUGCAAGCAGUUUCAGUUCCACAUGGAAUAGGGGACACACUAAAACUAAAAAAAAAUUUAAAGAAAUUUCUCCAGCAGGAAUUGGUGUUUCAGAUGUAUCAUUCUAUUACAGGUACAGAAAUUGUUUCCAGGAAACAUUGCCAUUAUUAUCUCUGAAAGGCAAGUCAGUAGAAAUUGUUAUUUUCCAUUUACAGGUGGACAAAUGGAAGCUUUCGUUCUCAUUUGCCAAUUACAGAAUGUGCACUCUGUUCAAAGUACUGUGCUUGGAUUUUCAUGGGAUACAAAGACGUGCAAGACAAGGUUCUCGUUCUAAAGGGGAAUGUUAUAAUCUGGUUAGGAGGAAAAGAUCUUUGUAUGCAAAAGUAACUAUAAUUUGGGAGUAUUUAAUUGGAAUCAUAUGAGUGGUCCAAAAAGAAGUACCAAAGGGAACACAGAAAGCAAGCAAAAGAUUUUCCAGCCAAGGUGAUUAGGGCUAUCAUUGUGGUCAAAGAGGCAUUUGAGAGAAAUAGAUUUUGUGCUGGUUAUUUUUCAUUUGGCCCCUGUAUUAGUUUCCUGUGACUGCUGUAACAAAUUACCAGACAGGGUGGCUUAAAACAACAGAACUUUAUUUUCUCAAAAUUCUGGAGGCAAGAAGUCCAAAAUCAAGGUUUUGGCAGGGCCAGGCUCCCUGCAAAGUCUCUAGGGGUGAAUCUGUUUCUUGUCUCUUCCAGCUUCUGAUGGCUCCAGGCUUUCCCUGGCUUGUGGCCACUUUAUUCCAGUUCUGAUUCUGUGGAUACAUUGCUUCCUCCUUUCUCCGCUUUUAUUAGGAUACAUGUGAUUGCAUUUAGGGCCCACCCAUGUAAACUAGGAUAUGCUCCUCCACACAGGAGCCCCAACUUAAUCACAUUUUUUUGCCAUGUAAUAUAAUUUUCUCAGGUUCCAGGGAGUAGCAUGUGAGCAAUUUUUUUUUUUUUUGAGGCACCACUACUUAGCCCACUGACAGCCUCCUAUGCUCCUCUGCCCUGCUCUGUGCCUGGUGAGGCUGUUAUCCAAAGAUGACUCACCUAGACCCCACUGCCCUCUGGCGUACUGUUGGAUUUUGCCAAUGGGACGUAUCAGCAACUAUCAGAGGGUAAGAGGAAAAAGAGGUUGAGGUAUUUCUUCUUCUUUCUUCCAGCUUUAGCACCACGGUUCUGGCAGCAGAUAUGCCCCUUCCCAGCUCUGGCUCCUGCGGGACUCUCAUAACACCAUUUCUACCCCUUGUCUCUUCAGCCCUGGGUUUCCACACUUGCUAGUCCUUGGGUACCUCAAUAUUCUUUUGAUGUGCCAGAAACCCUGGCUACAUCCUUGUAAAUAGUGUCUCCAUCAAACUAUUUUCAAAAUCCCAGCUAAGGGCGCCUUUGGUUUCCAGCCACAAUCUUGACUGAUAGAGGCACUGAGAAGCAAAAAUUUAAUUUCCAGAACAGAGAUAGACUCAGGUUGCCUCAAUCUAAGUUUAGUAAUGACCAGUGGGGACUGGAAGGUGAUUCAGCACACAACACAGCCAUUGCAGCUGCGUUAUCUAUCUUGCGGGCUCUUCAGCAGUAAAUAUCUGUUGCUUUGUACUCUAAUUAUCUGCUAUUAUUGUGACUCUCUGCUUCUGCUGCCCUUGCUACUAAGUACUUGCUAUUCUUUUCUCUAUCUCAUAGCUUCUAUUGCUUCAUGAAUUCCAGUUACGUGCUGUCAGCUUUCUUCCUUUUCUCUGAGAACUUUUAGUUUCUCCCCACUGCUAAGUGCUGAUUCCCUCUCUAUAUUUCAUACUCAGUUCCUCCAAAGGGCCUGACUGGUUUGGCUGCUCGCCGUCAAGUUAGGCAGAGCCUCUGUGACAAGCCAUCACAUCAGCAUAAGUUUAUUGCUCUACAUUAGGUGCCUGCUUUCUGGACUAAACAGUUUUGUUUAAAAUGGCAGAAUAAGUUGAUACAUAAUUUGCUGUCCCAUUAGAAAUUCCUGGGAAGUGGUUAUGGGUGUGGCAGGUAUUCUGAUACUUCCGGAGGGAGAUUAUCAAAACCCACAAGUACCUCUUCUUGUCCAGGGCCAUGGUGGGCUCAGAAAAGCACAACACAUGUUUGGGAAAAGCAAGCAGCCCUGAAUAGCUGGUGGUGUAAUUCAAAUAGAGAAACGCUAUUGUUGGUAUUAAAGCUGGAAAUGUAGGUCACGAAAGUUUGUGAAGAGCCUUGAGUGAAGAUUUGUUUUAGAAGGAACUUUAGACAUUAUUUUACGGGCAGUGAGAAGUUAAUGAAGGUUUUUGAACAUGGGAGAGCAAGAUUAAAAUCAGUUUUUAGGGCUAUUUAUCAGAUGGCAAUGGUAUUCAGAUUAGAACAGAAGUAGGAAAAUGUGGAAACAGGAAGAUAAAUUAGGAAGGUGUUGUAAUAGUCUAAGCAAGAAAAAUGGGGACCCAAGCCAGGAGAAGACUAGAAAGGAAGGCAAAGCUAGUCAUGAGAACUUCAGAGCAUGAGUGGAUUUCCAUUUGAGGCUAGUUUUGAGCUACGGGUUCAGAAUCUUUUUACCACCAAGGAUCCUUUCAAAUUUAUUUAUUUAUUUAUUUAUUUAUUUAUUUAUUUAUUUAUUUAUUUUAGGACCGCACAUGCGGUCUGUGGAAGUUCCUAGCCUAGGGGUUGGAUCAGAGCUGUAGCUGUGGGCCUACACCACAGCCCCACCAACGUGCAUCUGGGGCUGCAUCUGUGACCUACACUGAACCUUGUGGCAAUGCGAUAUCCUUAACCCAUUGACUGAGGCCAGGGAUUGAACCUGCAUCUUCACAAACACUACGUCAGAUUUUUAGCCUGGUGAGCCACAACGGGAACUCCUUUUUAAUUAUUUUUAUUUUCUUCCAAAUAAAUGACACUUUUUGGAGAAAUACACGAAUUCUAUCAGGUAUACUAAGAAAACUGACAAUAUUAUUAUCAGUGACUAUCUUUUCAAAUACACGUUUGGAAACUUGGCUCUGAGCCAAGAGAAUUUAGGAAAUGGUGGUUCCACAGGCGAAACUGGAUCUGAAUAUCUUAGCCUACGUUUUCUAGAAAAUUAGAACUCAAACCAAGAAUUAAUGCUAAUGCUUCAUUUCAGAGAUGUAAUCCCAGGCAGUAAGAUUGAGAGGAAAAGGAAAGAGAGAUGGAGAAGGAUGGGACACAAUGCAAGAUGAUGUUUGAAUAAUCUGCAGAGACAGUAGGUACGCCUGCAUAUCCAUGCAGGAUAUCUCCGGACAUGCACCAUGGCGAAAACAUGCUCAGGUAAGUUCUUGGGAAGCAGAAAGGAAAAAAAAUCCAUCUUCAUGGUUCUCUCCUAUUUCCCACUGAUCAAAAUUUACCACACCAGGAGUUUCUUUCCUCAUCGUUCCAGGUUAUGUCGUAUGUUCCCAUGUUAGUCUCUUAGCAGGCCACAGCCAGUGCUCUAUGGUGUGGCCUGUAAUCCUGCUCGGGGAAUGGAGAGAGAAGCCAGAAAUUCAUGGUGUGCAGCUGAAGAACCUAGUUUCUCAGUGGCAAUCAAGGAGGAGGCCCAGGCUGGGAAAGUGGCAGAUAAAUUCCAGCCCAAGGUAGCAAGGCUACAUGGGCCCAAACAAAGCAAGUCAGUUGCAGCGGUGGCUAAGCUGGAACUGGAACCACCUCCAGGAAGUGUUCUGAGGGUUACAAAGAAUAACUAUAGGGAAGUAUAUUCCUAGACAGCACAGAAUAAGUGAAUCUGAACAUAGGCUUUGGAGACAGGCAGAGGGGCACUUAUGUCAUAGCUGUAUAUGAUGAUCUAAGGCAAUUUACUUAAUCUCUUUAAGCCUUAGUUUCUUUACACAUAGCAUGGGGAUGAUAAUACUGUAUAGCUCAUCAUUUGGUAUGAUGCUAGGAAUACAGUAAAUGCUAAAUAAAUUAUGGCAAUUAUGACCAAAGAUGACUGUGUGAUCUUCCCAAUGCUUUCUUUUCUCUAGGCUGACUCUGCAUGUACUGCUCCUAAAUCCAUCUUGAGCAGGGUGGGUGGCUUGAAACCAAGUCCUUUAGUCAGCCUCAGGGGCAGCUGCACUUGAGGUCAUGGAGCCCCACAUGAGGUCACAUGGCCCCCACAGCAUGCUGACACAUUAAGCCCCAAGAUGGCAGCACUGCUAACCCAUCACCUUAGGUAUGCAGAAAGGACAUAUCUUGAAUAACCAUUUUUUCCUAAACUUUUUUUCCCUUCAAAGUAGAAAAAUAAAGUUUUUUGGUCAAAAUUGCUUUGUUGGCCCCAGAAAGCACAGCCAAAUACAUUAGUAUUACUAGGUCCACACAAUAAAGAGGUUCCUAUAAGACUUUAAAAAUAGAGGAGAUUACUCUUACACAAAUGGUAUUUGAUAGGAUGUAAUCUCUAAAUUAUACACAUCAAAAUUUCUUUGUUCUCAUAAAUUAAAAUUAUUUCAACUUUACAUAAGCAUACUAGAUGCCAAGAGGGAGUUCCCUGGUGGCCUAAAAAUAAAUGUUCAAUGGGAAUUAAACUGAAGGAAAUUCACUUUUCUAAUCCUCAUGGUGAUUUUCUUCACUGACUGACCAGAAAUUGAUUGAUAGCCCUUAUGCCUUCAGCUCUUUCCAGUCUUCUGAUCUAUAGAUGAUCCCGAAGCUAACUUACUUUAUUUAAAAAAUAUAUACUCAUAAAUUAUUGCUAUGGACUGAAUGUGAGUGUCUACCUCCCAAUUCAUAUAAUGAAGCCCCAGUCCCCAAUGUGCUGUUAUCUGGGGACAGGGCCUUUGAGAAGUAAUGCACUUCACUUGAGAUGAGGUCAUGAAGGUGGAGCCUCCUGAUGGGAGAAGUGCCCUUAUAGGCAGUGAAGAGACCAGAGCUCUUCUCUCUCAGGCAUGUGAGGACGGCAAGAAGACGGUGUAGUGCAAACUAGGAAUAGGGCUCCUGUCAGACACCAGAUCUACUGGCACCUUAAUCCUGGACCUUACAGCAUCCAAGUGUGAGAAAUGAAUGUCUGUGGUUUAAGCUGCCCAGUAUAUGAUAUUUUUGUUAUAGCAGCCCACGCUGACUAUGACAGAAAUUGGUACGCAGAAGAGAGGGUGCUGCUAUAAUAAAUACCUAAAAAUAUGGAAGCAGCUUUGGAACCGGGUAAUAGGCAGAAGCUGGAAGAUUUCUGAGCUGCCUGCUAGAAAAAGUCAACAUUGUUAUGAAGGGACUCCUAGAGGCAAUUCUGGUGAGAUCUCAGAGAGAGAAGAUGAAAGCUGCAGAGAAUGUUUCCAUCUUCCUAGAGAAUAUAAAUAAUCAUGCACAGAGUGUUGGUAGAAAUAUGGACAGUAAAGGCCAUUCCGGUCUCAGACAGAAAAGAGAAAUACGUUAUUAGAAACCAGAGGCAAGGUGAUCCUUGUUAUACCGUGCCAAAAACUUGGCUGAAUUGUGUUCAUAUUCUAGUAUUUUGUGGAAGGUAAGAACUUUCAAGUGAUGAAAAUGGAUAUCUAGUUGAGGAGAUUCCUACACCAAGUGUUGAAGGAGCAGCUUGGUUCCUCCUGACUGCUUGCAUUGCAAAACGUGAGAAGAGAGAAGUGAAUUGAUGAUUGUUAGGCAAAAAGGAACCAGAAAAUUGUCAGCCUGUCCAUAUUACAAAAAAUGAGAAAGCAUGACUGAUGGACGUCUUGGAUUUUACAGGCCUGGGACCAUAGAGCUAUUCAGUUGGAAUAUAAGCUGUUCUUCAAGACAAGAAAGAAUGACCCUGAAGGCAGUUUAGAAAUCAGGGUUUCAAAAAGUGAGGUGAGAGAGAAGGGAACUGCCUUGGUUUCAACAGGCCAGAUCGCCUCUAACCAAAGUCAUGGGAGUGACUCUUGGGACCACCUAGAGCCUUUAGGGAGUGACCACUUUCUGGCAAAGCCGCUGGUGGGUGUCUCUGGCUGGCAGAGCUUCUGCGGCAGGACCACUCUAGGAGGGUCCAGAGGCAGAGCAUCAAACCAGAGGGAUUGUUCUCUAGCCUUAAGAUCUCAUGGAGUUUGCUCUGCUAGGUUUUGGACUUGUUUGGGGCUCAUUACUCCUUCCUUCUUUCCUCUUUCUUUCUUUUGGAAAGGGAAUUUCUAUCCUACUCUCUGGUUUCACAGGUUCAUAGCUGGAGAGGAAUUUAAAAAAUUUUAUUAUUGUUAUUUUUUGGCUGUGCCUGAAGCAUGUGGAAGCACUCUGGACCAGGGAGUGAAACCCAGCCACAACAGUGACAAUGCCAGAUCCCUAACCCACUGAUCCACCAGGGAACUCUGAGAGGAAUUUUGCCUCAGAAUGAGUCUCACUCAUGUCUGAUUUAGAUGAGACCCUGGACUUUAGAGUUGAUGCUGGAAUAAAUUAAGACUUUGGGGGCUAUUUGGGAUAGAAUGCAUGAUUUUGUCUGUAAGGACAUGCACUUUUGGGGGCCAGGGAUGAAAGCAAGAACUUGGCUGUCUACAAACCAGGAAGAGGGCUCUUACCAGGUACUAAAUCUACUAGUGUCUUGAUCUUGGACUUCCUAGCCUCCAGAACUGUGAGAAAUGUUUGUUGUUUAAGCAACACAGUCUAUGAUAUUUUUAUUUAAGCAGCAUGAACUAAUACAAUUAGAAGAAAUUCAGGAGGGGGAGUUUCCUUGUGGUGUAGCAGGUUAAGGAUCCAGUGUUAUCACUGCAGUGGCUCAGGUCACUGCUGUGGCUCAGGAUGGAUCCCUGGCCUGGGAAUCUCCAUGUGCCAUGCUGUGGCAAAAAAAAAGAAAGUGAGAAAGAGAGGAAGAAAGAAAGAAAGAAAGAAAGAAAGAAAGAAAGAAAGAAAGAGAAAGAAAGAGAAAGAGAAAAAAAGAAAGAAAAAGAAAAAUUCAGGAGGAGGAACUAAGGGAUUCAAUUCAGGAGUAUCUACUAUUUGCUAGUUAUACAGGAUUUAAAGAGUAAUGUAGGUGUAGACCUAAAAAGUUCCCACUGGAGUUCCCGUCAUGGCGCAGUGGUUAAUGAAUCCAACUAGGAACCAUGAGGUUGUGGGUUCGAUCCCUGGCCUUGCUCAGUGGCUUAAGGAUCUGGCUUUGCUGUGAGCUGUGGUGUAGGUCGCAGACGUGGCUCGGAUCCCGCGUUGCAGUGGCUCUGGCGUAGGCUGGCGGCUAUAGCUCCGAUUGGACCACUAGCCUGGGAACCUCCAUAUGCUACGGGAGCAGUCCAAAAAAAUGGCAAAAAGGCAAAAAGGCAAAAAAAAAAAAAAAAGUUCCCAUUAAUUACAUUAGGAAAAAAGAGACCAAGAUCUAGAUACCUGGGUUCUAAAUUCAGAUCUGCAAACAGCCCAGCUAUGUAAACGACCUUAGACAUGAUAUCCAACAUACAUGGGUAUUAGUUUCUUCAUCUGUUGCAUAAUAGUAUCAUGAAGGGAAAUUCUUCCUUUUACAGCAGAGCUUACCUAGGAUAUAGCAUAUUGAGUACUGCGUGGUCUCUCCCAACCAGCUGAAAAUUGUUAAAGAAACAAUGAACUUUGAAUGAUCUUGGUAAGUUAAAGCAAGACCCUUAAAAGACCAAUCUGAAGACAUUUUUCCUUGUCCAUGAAGUAUAGGGCUUGUUAACCAAUCAUAUACAAAGCUGUGGCUUUAUUCCCACAUAUUUAGAGCAUUUAUUUUAAUCUUUAAUUAAUGUAACAAACCAAGACACCCCUUCCUAAAAAUUAAAAACACCUUCUUUCCCCCACCCCCCAUUCAAUUGGUAUGCUUCUUUGCCUGGACAUAAAUAAAAUGAGCUGGAUUUGUUUUGCUCUUUAUCUCUUCAUUAUGUGGCCAUAUCUUAUACCUGAAUAGCACUAAGUCUCUUCCCACCUGAGAAGAAGAGGAUGCAGUCAAAUAGGGUGGGCUUUUGCACCAAAGAGAUUCUGACUCUGUCACUGAUUAGUUAUAUUUCCUUGGAUAAGUUAUUAUCAUGGUUAGGGUCCCAGCUGGAAACAGAUGGUAUUCCCAAAUUGGACAAUUUGAGAGGUUUAAUAAAGGGACUAUUUAUAAAGAUGUGAAGACAUACUGGGAAACCACAGGGAGCAAGGCGAGGUGGUGGUUACUGGAACCCAGAACUAGCGAGAGCUGUGCGGAGAGGCCACUUGGGAGGACUUGCGACCUCUGGUUAAAAGGGCCAGUUAGCCCACUGUGCUUACAAGCAUGGAGUCAGGGGAAGGAAAUCCCAACCUCACCUCUUCCCUCGCACACAUCUGCAAGGGGCAAACCAAAGAAAACAAACAGUUAUUUAACCUUUCUUACUUUUCUCAUUUGUGAAAAAGGGAAUAAUAAUAUUUCCCGCUCAGAGUUUCUGUGAGAAUUAAAUGAGAACUUAGAUCAUAGCAGAUGAGCUAGGCCUUCUUCCUUCACUUGACCUUCAAAAUCCCCCUGUGAAAUAGACAGGAUAGAUUUGAUUGAAGGCCACUUUAUCAUGGUGGAAAAUGAAGACUCUGAGAAGUAACUUUCCCAAGGUCCCAUUGCUGGAAGAGUAGCAGAACUUGGACUGAAAGCAAGAUUUUUAAUGUACAUUCUAGGUUUCUUUCUCUAGACUAUUUUGUACCCCUCAACGCCUUUUGCAGAAGGCUGCCACAGAUGGUUUCUAGAGCUGCUAUACCCAGGGCUAUGGUGACUGCUAUUUACAGAAAAACUGAUUGACCCAGGAAGCAGUGCCUAAGCCAAAAAAAAAAAAAAAA